RNAcentral lists this ribosomal RNA (253 nucleotides) under uncultured bacterium. RNAcentral describes it as "partial 16S ribosomal RNA". It matches the Rfam family "Bacterial small subunit ribosomal RNA", at positions 524 to 776 of the family's 1533-position model. The record is from RNAcentral.
UACGUAGGGUGCGAGCGUUGUCCGGAAUUAUUGGGCGUAAAGAGCUCGUAGGCGGUUUGUUGCGUCUAUCGUGAAAACCUGCGGCUUAACUGUGGGCUUGCGGUGGAUACGGGCAGACUUGAGUUCGGUAGGGGAGACUGGAAUUCCUGGUGUAGCGGUGAAAUGCGCAGAUAUCAGGAGGAACACCGGUGGCGAAGGCGGGUCUCUGGGCCGAUACUGACGCUGAGAAGCGAAAGCAUGGGGAGCGAACAGG